GCCGGGUGAGGUGGCCCAUGCCUGUCGUCCCAGCUACUCGGGAGGCUGAGGUGGGAGGAUCGCUUGAGCCCAGGAGUUCUGGGCUGCAGUGCGCUAUGCCAGUCGGGUGUCCACACUAAGUUCGCCAUCAAUAGGGUGACCUCCCGGGAGUGGGGGACCACCAGGUUGCCUAAGGAGGGGUGAACCGGCCCAGGUCGGAAAUGGAGCAGGUCAAAACUCCCGUGCUGAUCAGCAGCGGGAUCGCGUCUGUGCAUAGCCACUACCAGCCAGCCUUGGCAACAUAGCAAGACCCCGUCUCA
This 299-nucleotide signal recognition particle RNA is filed under the name Cebus imitator (Panamanian white-faced capuchin). Its description in RNAcentral is "Metazoan signal recognition particle RNA (ENSCCAG00000005496.1)". It matches the Rfam family "Metazoan signal recognition particle RNA". From Rfam's summary of the family: The signal recognition particle (SRP) is a universally conserved ribonucleoprotein. It is involved in the co-translational targeting of proteins to membranes. The eukaryotic SRP consists of a 300-nucleotide 7S RNA and six proteins: SRPs 72, 68, 54, 19, 14, and 9. Lineage: Eukaryota; Metazoa; Chordata; Mammalia; Primates; Cebidae. The record is from RNAcentral.